GUGUUAAAAUCUGAAAUUUGGGGCACGUGUAAUGGUUGUUGAAAUUCAGAGAUGAUGGCUGUCCCGUUUCCAAAUUCAACAUUUGUAAUUGUUUAGUGUAUUUGCGGAAACAAUGGCGAAGAGGUUAGCUAGAGGUGGAAGAAGGGACGAGGUACCGUCGCGGUCGAUUUUGACUCGAGCUGUGGACUCUGUAUUUGAUUUCGUCCGAUUGGCAGAGUUUGAGAUCCUCUUCGUCUUCUUUUUUGUUGUAGCAUAUGUCAUUUUCAAGGAUCUGACUUCAAGGCCGGAGUAUAAUGAGAUCUUGGUGAAGAAGCCAGAUUGGUGGCCUUACUAGAGUGUACCUGCAGGGUGUUUUCUUUGUCUAGUGGAAGAGUAUGAGUUGCUCUGUACAUUUAUUUCUUAGUGUUUAUCCAGAUCUGUGUGCAUCUUUUCUAAAAAGUGUACGUCUGGAUCUGGUUUUGAGAUUUCUUAUUCUUCCCUUUUCUUUUCCUUAAUGUGAGUCAGAUGUUGAAAUCAGGAUUUAUGGGUAAGUUGUAUUGUGUCAUACUGGAAUUCCAUCAAAUGCAUAUUGCAUCUGAUCAUACGUGUAUUACAUGGGAAAAAU
Molecule: unclassified non-coding RNA, 604 nt
Filed under: Hevea brasiliensis (rubber tree)
Lineage: Eukaryota; Viridiplantae; Streptophyta; Magnoliopsida; Malpighiales; Euphorbiaceae
Source: RNAcentral